GCUGGAAUGGUCUAGUUGGUUAUGACGACUGCCUAUUAGGCAGUGCCUAACACGGAGUAGGUCCCGAGUUCGACUCUCGGUUCCAGUA
This is a non-coding RNA of Perkinsus olseni, 88 nucleotides long. The record is from the annotation of a GenBank genome assembly. Lineage: Eukaryota; Perkinsozoa; Perkinsida; Perkinsidae.